AUGAAGAACGCAGUGAAAUGCGAUACGUAGUGUGAAUUGCAGAAUUCAGUGAAUCAUCGAAUCUUUGAACGCACAUUGCACCUCUCGGUAUUCCGGGAGGUAUGCCUGUUCGAGCGUCAUUUGUACCCUCAAGCUCUGCUUGGUGUUGGGUGUUUGUUCCGCCUCUGUGUGUGAACUCGCCUCAAAACAAUUGGCAGCCGGCGUACUUGUUUCGGAGCGCAGCACAUUUUGCGAUCCAGAUCAACGUACAGCGGCAUCCAAGAAGCCUUAUUUAACGCUCUUGACCUCGGAUCAGGUAGGGAUACCCGCUGAACUUAAGCAUAUCAAUAAGCGGAGGA
RNAcentral lists this unclassified non-coding RNA (338 nucleotides) under soil metagenome. Its description in RNAcentral is "partial contains 5.8S ribosomal RNA, internal transcribed spacer 2, and large subunit ribosomal RNA". The stretch from base 1 to 119 matches the Rfam family "5.8S ribosomal RNA", at positions 36 to 154 of the family's 154-position model. The record is from RNAcentral.